Adelges cooleyi (spruce gall adelgid) is the source of this 575-nucleotide long non-coding RNA. RefSeq lists it as uncharacterized. The record is from RefSeq and is a predicted model, not a curated record. The transcript has 4 exons. Lineage: Eukaryota; Metazoa; Arthropoda; Insecta; Hemiptera; Adelgidae.
AGACGCUUCGUUUUAUUUAUUGGGGACAUCGCUUGUAUCAUUCUUUGAUGUGAUAUUGUCGUAUAAAUGCUUUGGUAGAAAACCUUCAAUAUACACUUGUUGGGCUUGCUUUUUUGUAGCCAGUGGAUUUAUUUACGCGAUCAGACACGAAUAUCUCGCAGGUACGUUUUCGGCGGUCGGAUUGUUGUUCAGUAUUUUGAGUUCGUUUUUCUACGCUUUUUAUGCCAUAAAAGUGUACACAUUUUUGCCUCGUAUAAACAACGAACUUUGGGUGAUCAUGUUCUUCAACAACCUGUACUCCACAAUACUGUUUAUUCCGUUGCUGGUGUUUGAAAGAGACGAAAUCAUGAACAAACUUAUGCCCUCAGCCUUCGGUAUAAAUCAAGUAUUGACUUUUGUGGCAUUGGCGCUUUCCGGGGUAGUCACAAUGGUCUACAAACUUAUUCACAUCAAAAGGGACACGACAAUUUGGGUGACCAAACUCGAGUCUCGCGGUAUAAGCAGGGCACACUUCCAGUUGGGAAUAGUAUCACAUUGGUACGCUGAACCUAAGCCCCUCAGCUGGUGGGUGGCAA